CAUGACAAAAAAAAAAUAUAUAUAUAUAUAUAUAUAUAUGUAUAUGUUUAUAUCUGGUUCGUAACUGUGUCUGAGAACAACACAUAUAUAUUAAGUAAAUAUAAUGUUUAUGUGUUUUAUUAUAUAUAAACUACUAUAUAUCAUUAUUUAUUAUUCUUCUUCACUCUUUCAGAUUCUAAAACAAAAACAUUUACGCAUAGCAGAAAGGAAAACAAUUCAUACGAAAAAGAGCUUGUAGGCAUAAAAAGAAGACCAAGAAGCUAUAACAACAGGUUUAAUAACAGAUAUCAAGACAGUGAUGAUAAAUCAAUGUCAAGAAGGAAAAAUAAAAAAAGAACCAAAAACGAAAUGACUGUUAGGUCAAGUUCAUCAAGUGAUAGUAUUAGGAGGUGGCAUUACGAUAAAGAUAAUGUUAGGGUGAUAACAAAAAAUAAUAAAAAUAGAGAUAUGGAAAAAUAUAAAAUAAAAGAUAAACAUCGAAGGAUAGAUAAAUACUCAAAUUCUUCCGUUUCACCAAAUCGUGUAAUAUAUAUAGAAAAAGAUGAUGGAAAAGGGAGGUCAUCAAAAGAAGGGAAAUAUGAAACUGUAGAGGAUAGGAUGGCGGAAGUAGAUGAAAGUAGAAAAAACUAUAUGUCAGACGAUAAUAAUAUGAACGAAAAAAAAAAUAAAGCCAUUUUAAAGUAAUAUAUAAAAAUAGUAACAUAAAAUAACAGUCAAGCAUUCACUAAGUAUAUAU
Molecule: long non-coding RNA, 736 nt
Filed under: Piliocolobus tephrosceles (Ugandan red Colobus)
Lineage: Eukaryota; Metazoa; Chordata; Mammalia; Primates; Cercopithecidae
Description: lncRNA (ENSPTEG00000014029.1)
Source: RNAcentral